RNAcentral lists this ribosomal RNA (2142 nucleotides) under Macrostylis sabinae. RNAcentral describes it as "SSU rRNA". It matches the Rfam family "Eukaryotic small subunit ribosomal RNA". Lineage: Eukaryota; Metazoa; Arthropoda; Malacostraca; Isopoda; Macrostylidae. The record is from RNAcentral.
GACCGAUCUAAGGUGAAACCGCGAAUGGCUCAUUAAAUCAGUCGUAAUUUCUUGGAUAGUGAAAAACUUUCCUCGGAUAACUGUGGAAAAUCCAGAGCUAAUACGUGCAACUGAGCUCCGACCUAGGCGCGAGCCUUGGGAAGAGCGCAUUUAUUAGAUUCAAAACUGACCGAUGUACUCCUCCGGGAUACGUCGAUUGUCAAAUGUUUGAUGACUCCGGAUAACUUAGCCGAGCGCUACGGUCUUUAGUACCGGCGCCGUAUCUUUCAAGUGUCUGCCUUAUCAGCUUUCGAUUGUAGGUUAAACGCCUACAAUGGCUGUAACGGGUAACGGGGAAUCAGGGUUCGAUUCCGGAGAGGGAGCCUGAGAAACGGCUACCACAUCUAAGGAAGGCAGCAGGCACGCAAAUUACCCACUCCCAGCCCGGGGAGGUAGUGACGAAAAAUAACGAUGCGAGACUCUUCCGAGGCCUCGCAAUCGGAAUGAGUCCAUCUUAAAUCUUUGGACGAGGAUCCAUUGGAGGGCAAGUCUGGUGCCAGCAGCCGCGGUAAUUCCAGCUCCAAUAGCGUAUAUUAAAGUUGCUGCGGUUAAAAAGCUCGUAGUUGGACUUUCUAGAUCCAUUUCGUGGGCGAGUCGCUCGUCGUGCUAGUGUCUUACGUAAGUUGUUUGACAAAGUUUGGAUUGCACACGUACGUACCUUUAUUCGAUAUAUCUCUACUAUAGCCGUCGGUGUUGUCGUUGUGUGGUAUUGAUUCGUUAGUAUCCGCACGCGCGCGCCUUCGCUUUAGUGAGUGUGUCGUUUUAGAGAUUACGAGCGUGGUUUUGCGUCCUUUCCGAAUCAUACGGACUGUGAGAGACGGUCUUCGGGUAUAGCUCGUCCGCGUUUGGUACAAUUAAAAUUUUGUCGGCUCGCUCGGAGUGCUCUUUACCGAGUGUUCCAGGGUGGCCGACACGUUCACUUUGAAAAAAUUAGAGUGCUUAAAGCGGGCUAAAUCACGGCCUGGAUGUCUGUGCAUGGAAUGAAGUAACAGGACCUCGAUUCUGUUCUUUUUGUCGGUUUUAAUGAACCGAGGUAAUGAUUAAAAGGGACAGACGGUGGCAUUAGUAUUGCGGCGCUAGAGGUGAAAUUCUUGGACCGUCGCAAGACUAACUACUGCGAAAGCAUUUGCCGAGAAUGUUUUCAUUAAUCAAGAACGAAAGUUAGAGGAUCGAAGGCGAUCAGAUACCGCCCUAGUUCUAACCCUAAACUAUGCUAACUAGCGAUCCGCCGAAGUCAUUCCCACGACUCGGCGGGAAGCCCCAGGGAAACCAAAGUCUUUGAGUUCCGGGGGAAGUAUGGUUGCAAAGCUGAAACUUAAAGGAAUUGACGGAAGGGCACCACCAGGAGUGGAGCCUGCGGCUUAAUUUGACUCAACACGGGAAACCUCACCAGGCCCGGACAUCAUAAGGAUUGACAGAUUGAGAGCUCUUUCUCGAUUUGAUGGGUGGUGGUGCAUGGCCGUUCUUAGUUGGUGGAGUGAUCUGUCUGGUUGAUUCCGAUAACGAACGAGACUCUACCCUACUAACUAGUCGGCGGAUCGUAACCCUGAGAUGGUUAGUUUGUAUAGGGGAGUUUGGCCUAGGCAAAGCGCUCGAUGAUGGGGGUUCUUCUGGAGCUUCCCUGUCGAGUCGUGAUGUUGAAGCUUCUCUCUGAUUACUGCUACUGCUGGGGGCGUCCGUCGCAAUGUAUCUUCUUAGAGGGAUCAGCGGCGUCUAGCCGCACGAGAAAGAGCAAUAACAGGUCUGUGAUGCCCUUAGAUGUUCUGGGCCGCACGCGCGCUACAAUGUAGAGACCAGCGUGCUUUCCCUCUCCGAAAGGAGCGGGUAACCCGUUGAAACCCCUACCCGAUUGGGAUUGGGGAUUGCAAAUAUUUCCCAUAAACGAGGAAUUCCCAGUAAGCGCGAGUCAUCAACUCGCGCUGAUUACGUCCCUGCCCUUUGUACACACCGCCCGUCGCUACUACCGAUUGAAUGAUUCAGUGAGGGCAUCGGACUGGCGCCUUCGGUUUAGUAACAUAGACCUUAGGCUGACGGAAAGAUGUCCGAACUUGAUCAUUUAGAGGAAGUAAAAGUCGUAACAAGGUUUCCCGUAGGUGAACCUGC